This 1341-nucleotide ribosomal RNA is filed under the name uncultured bacterium. RNAcentral's name for it is "partial 16S ribosomal RNA". It matches the Rfam family "Bacterial small subunit ribosomal RNA", at positions 28 to 1381 of the family's 1533-position model. The record is from RNAcentral.
GACGAACGCUGGCGGCGUGCUUAACACAUGCAAGUCGAACGGUAAGGCUCCAGCUUGCUGGGGUACACGAGUGGCGAACGGGUGAGUAACACGUGGGUGACCUGCCCUGCACUUCGGGAUGAGCCUGGGAAACUGGGUCUAAUACCGGAUAGGACCGCACCGUGAGGGUGUGGUGGAAAGUUUUUUCGGUGUGGGAUGGGCCCGCGGCCUAUCAGCUUGUUGGUGGGGUAAUGGCCUACCAAGGCGGCGACGGGUAGCCGGCCUGAGAGGGUGGACGGCCACAUUGGGACUGAGACACGGCCCAGACUCCUACGGGAGGCAGCAGUGGGGAAUAUUGCACAAUGGGCGGAAGCCUGAUGCAGCGACGCCGCGUGGGGGAUGACGGCCUUCGGGUUGUAAACUCCUUUCACCAUCGACGAAGGGUUUCUGACGGUAGAUGGAGAAGAAGCACCGGCUAACUACGUGCCAGCAGCCGCGGUAAUACGUAGGGUGCGAGCGUUGUCCGGAAUUACUGGGCGUAAAGAGCUCGUAGGUGGUUUGUCGCGUCGUCUGUGAAAUUCCGGGGCUUAACUCCGGGCGUGCAGGCGAUACGGGCAUAACUUGAGUACUGUAGGGGAGACUGGAAUUCCUGGUGUAGCGGUGAAAUGCGCAGAUAUCAGGAGGAACACCGGUGGCGAAGGCGGGUCUCUGGGCAGUAACUGACGCUGAGGAGCGAAAGCAUGGGGAGCGAACAGGAUUAGAUACCCUGGUAGUCCAUGCCGUAAACGGUGGGCGCUAGGUGUGGGUUUCCUUCCACGGGAUCCGUGCCGUAGCUAACGCAUUAAGCGCCCCGCCUGGGGAGUACGGCCGCAAGGCUAAAACUCAAAGGAAUUGACGGGGGCCCGCACAAGCGGCGGAGCAUGUGGAUUAAUUCGAUGCAACGCGAAGAACCUUACCUGGGCUUGACAUAUACAGGAUCGCGCCAGAGAUGGUGUUUCCCUUGUGGCUUGUAUACAGGUGGUGCAUGGUUGUUGUCAGCUCGUGUCGUGAGAUGUUGGGUUAAGUCCCGCAACGAGCGCAACCCUUGUCUUAUGUUGCCAGCACGUUGUGGUGGGGACUCGUAAGAAACUGCCGGGGUUAACUCGGAGGAAGGUGGGGAUGACGUCAAAUCAUCAUGCCCCUUAUGUCCAGGGCUUCACACAUGCUACAAUGGUCGGUACAGUGGGUUGCCAGUCCGUGAGGGCGAGCUAAUCCCGCAAAGCCGGUCUCAGUUCGGAUCGGGGUCUGCAACUCGACCCCGUGAAGUCGGAGUCGCUAGUAAUCGCAGAUCAGCAACGCUGCGGUGAAUACGUUCCCGGGCCU